Molecule: long non-coding RNA, 461 nt
Filed under: Aquilegia coerulea
Lineage: Eukaryota; Viridiplantae; Streptophyta; Magnoliopsida; Ranunculales; Ranunculaceae
Description: long non-coding RNA (ACOE_LNC000955)
Source: RNAcentral
GACUUACUAGAAAUCAGAAAUUGGAAGCGAAUUUGAAGAAUUUGGUAACCAAAUUUGAUGAAAUGACGGUCAAACAAACAUCAUUGCAAGGUGAUGUAAUAGGAAUCAAAGGAAAUGUUGAUGAAAUCAAAAUGUCAAUGAAGGACAUGAAGAAACGGUUUGAUAUCAUUUCACUUGGUAUUGAAUCCAUUUUGGGAAUUCAAGAGAAAGAUAUUGGUAAAGGUGUUGCAGCUGAAGUUUCAAAUCAAUCAGAUCCACCUUCUUCGUCAAAUAAUAUAUCUGUUGCUACCCAAAGAAUACUUGGGCAUUCUCCUGCUAAUCUAGUUCGUGUAAACGAAGGUAAUGAUGAUUCUUCAGUUAGAUUUCAUGGUAGUAAUCCAAAUUUAAUUGGAUCUACAACUAGAUUAGUUGAGAAUAGUUGACGUAGCGGAAGCGAUUAAAAAUCAAACCUUGAAUAACCC